Molecule: ribosomal RNA, 490 nt
Filed under: uncultured bacterium
Lineage: Bacteria
Description: partial 16S ribosomal RNA
Rfam family: Bacterial small subunit ribosomal RNA
Source: RNAcentral
GAUGAACGCUAGCUACAGGCUUAACACAUGCAAGUCGCGGGGCAGCAUGGGGGUUGCUUGCAAUCCCCGAUGGCGACCGGCGCACGGGUGAGUAACGCGUAUCCAACCUGCCCUUCACCACGGGAUAACCCGGCGAAAGUCGGACUAAUACCGUAUGUUGUCCAUUGACGGCCUCCGAUUUGGACGAAAGGUUUGGCGGUGAAGGAUGGGGAUGCGUCCGAUUCGCUGGACGGCGGGGUGACGGCCCACCGUGGCGACGAUCGGUAGGGGUUCUGAGAGGAAGGUCCCCCACACUGGAACUGAGACACGGUCCAGACUCCUACGGGAGGCAGCAGUGAGGAAGAUUGGGCAAUGGGCGUAAGCCUGAACCAGCCAAGUAGCGUGCAGGAUGACGGCCCUAUGGGUUGUAAACUGCUUUUAUGCGGGGAUAAAGUGGCCCACGUGUGGGUUUUUGCAGGUACCGCAUGAAUAAGGACCGGCUAAUUCCGUG